AUUUUGGCUGUUGUCUCUUUCUCCAGGAUUGUGGGUGACCUCACAGCUUGCUGAUCAUGAAUCAAGAAUUAACCCUGAAGAAAAUGUAUGGGGAGAAUGUGGCCUCAAACUGAUUCAGAGAAGAGUUAAAAAGAGGAAAUGGACAGCAAACACUCUUCCAGAUUGAAGAAAAAGCAUCCAGGGACUUCCUUUUACAAACCAGAUGGCAGCCUCCAGCUGGCUGCCUUAGAGAUAUUGAAAUUGGAAGACCCAAUAUCUGAGCAGACACGCCCACUUAUAGUUCUCUCCAUCUCUACAUGGAGCCACAACCAC
RNAcentral lists this long non-coding RNA (312 nucleotides) under Heterocephalus glaber (naked mole-rat). RNAcentral describes it as "lncRNA (ENSHGLG00100043119.1)". The record is from RNAcentral. Lineage: Eukaryota; Metazoa; Chordata; Mammalia; Rodentia; Bathyergidae.